CUGGUUUUCUCUCUUGCUGUGGCCUCUGCUUCCAAUGUCUAGCAUAGUGGAUAAGUGGACCGCUCAAUAUGCCAAGCUUCGUGAGAAGAGCCGGGCCGCCUUCUCCGGUGGCGGUUCCAGCCCGGUAGCGGAACCAGAGCAGACCUCCUCCGCUCCUCGUGGGUUCCCGGUGCUGAGCCAGGCCCCGCGGAUCAAGUCCCAACCGUCGCCUUCGCUUUUCUCAGAAGCUGCACUCGCCAUGCUU
Molecule: long non-coding RNA, 244 nt
Filed under: Phoenix dactylifera (date palm)
Lineage: Eukaryota; Viridiplantae; Streptophyta; Magnoliopsida; Arecales; Arecaceae
Description: long non-coding RNA (PDAC_LNC001808)
Source: RNAcentral